Molecule: ribosomal RNA, 468 nt
Filed under: uncultured bacterium
Lineage: Bacteria
Description: partial 16S ribosomal RNA
Rfam family: Bacterial small subunit ribosomal RNA
Source: RNAcentral
GACGAACGCUGGCGGCGUGCUUAACACAUGCAAGUCGAACGGAAAGGCCCUGCUUUUGUGGGGUGCUCGAGUGGCGAACGGGUGAGUAACACGUGAGUAACCUGCCCUUGGCUUUGGGAUAACUUCAGGAAACUGGGGCUAAUACCGGAUAGGAGCUCCUGCUGCAUGGUGGGGGUUGGAAAGUUUCGGCGGUUGGGGAUGGACUCGCGGCUUAUCAGCUUGUUGGUGGGGUAGUGGCUUACCAAGGCUUUGACGGGUAGCCGGCCUGAGAGGGUGACCGGCCACAUUGGGACUGAGAUACGGCCCAGACUCCUGCGGGAGGCAGCAGUGGGGAAUAUUGCACAAUGGGCGGAAGCCUGAUGCAGCAACGCCGCGUGCGGGAUGACGGCCUUCGGGUUGUAAACCGCUUUCGCCUGUGACGAAGCGUGAGUGACGGUAAUGGGUAAAGAAGCACCGGCUAACUACGUG